Molecule: ribosomal RNA, 276 nt
Filed under: Clostridioides difficile
Lineage: Bacteria; Bacillati; Bacillota; Clostridia; Peptostreptococcales; Peptostreptococcaceae
Description: partial 16S ribosomal RNA
Rfam family: Bacterial small subunit ribosomal RNA
Source: RNAcentral
GGAAGAUAAUGACGGUACUUGAGGAGGAAGCCCCGGCUAACUACGUGCCAGCAGCCGCGGUAAUACGUAGGGGGCUAGCGUUAUCCGGAUUUACUGGGCGUAAAGGGUGCGUAGGCGGUCUUUCAAGGCAGGAGUGAAAGGCUACGGCUCAACCGUAGUAAGCUCUUGAAACUGGGAGACUUGAGUGCAGGAGAGGAGAGUGGAAUUCCUAGUGUAGCGGUGAAAUGCGUAGAUAUUAGGAGGAACACCAGUUGCGAAGGCGGCUCUCUGGACUGU